GAUGAAGAACGUAGCGAAAUGCGAUAAGUAAUGUGAAUUGCAGAAUUCAGUGAAUCAUCGAAUCUUUGAACGCACAUUGCGCCCAUUAGUAUUCUAGUGGGCAUGCCUGUUCGAGCGUCAUUAAGUCCACUUAAGCCCUGCUUAGUGUUGGGAGACUGCUCCAGCGGUGCUACCCUGUAGCUACCCUGCAGCUCCUCAAAGACAGCGGCGGAGUUGUGGUAUCCUCUGAGCUUAGUAACUUGUUCUACCUUUCGAGUACACCACUUCCCCUGCCGUAAAACCCUUAAUUUUUAAUGGUUGACCUCGGAUCAGGUAGGAAUACCCGCUGAACUUAAGCAUAUCAAUAAGCGGAGGA
RNAcentral lists this unclassified non-coding RNA (355 nucleotides) under soil metagenome. Its description in RNAcentral is "partial contains 5.8S ribosomal RNA, internal transcribed spacer 2, and large subunit ribosomal RNA". The stretch from base 1 to 120 matches the Rfam family "5.8S ribosomal RNA", at positions 35 to 154 of the family's 154-position model. The record is from RNAcentral.